RNAcentral lists this ribosomal RNA (403 nucleotides) under Fusobacteriota bacterium. Its description in RNAcentral is "Fusobacteria bacterium partial 16S ribosomal RNA". It matches the Rfam family "Bacterial small subunit ribosomal RNA", at positions 355 to 776 of the family's 1533-position model. Lineage: Bacteria; Fusobacteriati; Fusobacteriota. The record is from RNAcentral.
UGGGGAAUUUUGCACAAUGGAGGAAACUCUGAUGCAGCGACGCCGCGUGAGUGAUGAAGAUCUUCGGAUUGUAAAACUCUGUUCUUAGUGAAGAUAAUGACAGUAACUAAGAAGCAAGCCCUGGCUAAAUACGUGCCAGUAGCCGCGGUAAUACGUAUGGGGCAAGCGUUGUCCGGAAUUAUUGGGCGUAAAGGGUACGUAGGCGGUUUAAUAAGUCCUAAUUAAAAGGCUAUGGCUCAACCAUAGUAUGGUUAGGAAACUGUUGAACUUGAGUAGAUGAGGGGAAAGUGGAAUUCCAUGUGUAGCGGUGAAAUGCGUAGAUAUAUGGAGGAACACCAAUGGCGAAGGCAACUUUCUGGAAUCAAACUGACGCUGAGGUACGAAGGCGUGGGGAGCAAACAGG